This 296-nucleotide long non-coding RNA is filed under the name Mytilus galloprovincialis (Mediterranean mussel). Lineage: Eukaryota; Metazoa; Mollusca; Bivalvia; Mytilida; Mytilidae. The record is from RNAcentral.
ACUGACUAAAAUACAUUAUCAUGUGUAUAUAGUCACAAUAUAGAGUGUCAAUGUGAUUGUGAGAUUGUUGGUGGUACAUGUGUAUUGAUAGUAUGAAAUACAGUUGAAAUCCAUAAAUAAACUAUUCAGCAUUCCUAAAUAAGAACAUUAAAGGAUGAAAAUCUAAAACAAUUUCUCUAUUUUUGUUUUUACUGAAUUAGUUAUGGAUCUGUCUCUUUGAAGUAAUUUUGUUUAAAUUAAUAUAAAUAAUAUAGCAAUAGGUAGAUAUAUAUUUGGAUAUUUCUGUGAUACUUAUG